AGCGAGGCAAAGCCGCGAGGCAGAGCGAAUCGCUAAAAGCCGUCCCAGUUCGGAUUGCAGGCUGCAACCCGCCUGCAUGAAGUUGGAAUCGCUAGUAAUCGCGGAUCAGCAUGCCGCGGUGAAUACGUUCCCGGGCCUUGUACACACCGCCCGUCACACCAUGAGAGUCGGGAACACCCGAAGUCCGUAGCCUGACCGCAAGGGGGGCGCGGCCGAAGGUGGGUUCGAUAAUUGGGGUGAAGUCGUAACAAGGUAAC
Molecule: ribosomal RNA, 257 nt
Filed under: uncultured bacterium
Lineage: Bacteria
Description: partial 16S ribosomal RNA
Rfam family: Bacterial small subunit ribosomal RNA
Source: RNAcentral